The sequence is a small nucleolar RNA, 106 nucleotides long. It matches the Rfam family "Plant small nucleolar RNA R71". Rfam says of the family: R71 is a member of the C/D box family of snoRNAs containing the C (UGAUGA) and D (CUGA) box motifs. Multiple nearly identical copies of this snoRNA have been identified in Arabidopsis, and it is thought to function as a 2'-O-ribose methylation guide for 18S ribosomal RNA. The record is from Rfam.
AGACCGUGAUAUGGGCAUUUUCUUAGUAGGUCUUUGUAUCUCUCCCAUGCUUCAUAUAUGAUUCCAUCUCGAAUUGAGCAAAUGUUGUGAUGUCAUUUCUCAACUU